RNAcentral lists this transfer RNA (74 nucleotides) under Alicyclobacillus hesperidum. Its description in RNAcentral is "tRNA_Cys_GCA". It matches the Rfam family "tRNA". Rfam says of the family: Transfer RNA (tRNA) molecules are approximately 80 nucleotides in length. The record is from RNAcentral. Lineage: Bacteria; Bacillati; Bacillota; Bacilli; Caryophanales; Alicyclobacillaceae.
GGUGCCAUAGCCAAGUGGUAAGGCAGAGGUCUGCAAAACCUUUACCGCCGGUUCGAAUCCGGCUGGCACCUCCA